UUGGAGUCAGGCCACUUGUGCCACGGCUUGAGCAAACCGUGCUGCCUGUAGCUCCGCCA
RNAcentral lists this long non-coding RNA (59 nucleotides) under dengue virus type 4. RNAcentral describes it as "Dengue virus 4 partial sfRNA2". The record is from RNAcentral. Lineage: Riboviria; Orthornavirae; Kitrinoviricota; Flasuviricetes; Amarillovirales; Flaviviridae.